GAUGAAGAACGCAGCGAACUGCGAUAAGUAAUGUGAAUUGCAGAAUUCAGUGAAUCAUCGAGUCUUUGAACGCACAUUGCGCCCCCUGGCAUUCCGGGGGGCAUGCCUGUCCGAGCGUCAUUGCUGCCCAUCAAGCCUGGCUUGGUGUUGGGCGACGUCCCCUUUGGGGACGCGCCUCGAAACGCUCGGCGGCGUGGCACCGGCUUUAAGCGUAGCAGAAUCUUUCGCUUUGGAAGUCGGGGCCCCGUCUGCCGGAAGACCUACUCGCAAGGUUGACCUCGGAUCAGGCAGGGAUACCCGCUGAACUUAAGCAUAUCAAUAAGCGGAGGA
RNAcentral lists this unclassified non-coding RNA (330 nucleotides) under soil metagenome. Its description in RNAcentral is "partial contains 5.8S ribosomal RNA, internal transcribed spacer 2, and large subunit ribosomal RNA". The stretch from base 1 to 120 matches the Rfam family "5.8S ribosomal RNA", at positions 35 to 154 of the family's 154-position model. The record is from RNAcentral.